This 440-nucleotide ribosomal RNA is filed under the name uncultured bacterium. Its description in RNAcentral is "partial 16S ribosomal RNA". It matches the Rfam family "Bacterial small subunit ribosomal RNA", at positions 338 to 795 of the family's 1533-position model. The record is from RNAcentral.
CCUACGGGGAGCAGCAGUAGGGAAUAUUGCUCAAUGGGGGAAACCCUGAAGCAGCAACGCCGCGUGGAGGAUGAAGGUUUUCGGAUUGUAAACUCCUUUUGUUAGAGAAGAUAAUGACGGUAUCUAACGAAUAAGCACCGGCUAACUCCGUGCCAGCAGCCGCGGUAAUACGGAGGGUGCAAGCGUUACUCGGAAUCACUGGGCGUAAAGAGCGCGUAGGCGGGAUAGCAAGUCAGAUGUGAAAUCCUAUGGCUUAACCAUAGAACUGCAUUUGAAACUGUUAUUCUAGAGUGUGGGAGAGGUAGGUGGAAUUCUUGGUGUAGGGGUAAAAUCCGUAGAGAUCAAGAGGAAUACUCAUUGCGAAGGCGACCUGCUAGAACAUAACUGACGCUGAUGCGCGAAAGCGUGGGGAGCAAACAGGAUUAGAUACCCCAGUAGUC